This is a non-coding RNA of Pelobates cultripes (western spadefoot toad), 459 nucleotides long. NCBI's taxonomy places the organism in Eukaryota, Metazoa, Chordata, Amphibia, Anura, Pelobatidae. The record is from the annotation of a GenBank genome assembly.
CUUCCACUGACCUCCAGAAGUUGGCAAGUUUUGAACAAUUCCACCACAUAUGGAUAUAUGUGCCCCUAAAACCACAGCCCCGCCAGCAAUCGUCAUUAUCCAAUUUAUGCAUGCGAUAAAGUUUCACGGGCGUGGUAUACCACCUGAGCAUGGUUUUCCAUGCUUGUUCUUGUAGAGUGACACAAAUCGAGACAGUGGAAUUCGCCUCCCAUAUCUCCAUCCAUUCUAGUCCCUCCAGGACUUCACCGAGGUCCGCUUCCCAUUGAUCCGUGUACUUCAGAUUUCCCCAUUCGCCCGUUUCCGCACUCAGGUGAGCGUAUAGAAGUGUAAUCAUACCCUUGGGGGCGGUCCCUUUGGAGCAAAGUCGUUCAAAAAAGGUCAUCUGACCCAGAGCUGCCGCCUUAAUGCGAGGUUUGCCAGCGAAGUCGCGAAUCUGGACAAAGCGGAAAAAAUCUGCGG